This 571-nucleotide long non-coding RNA is filed under the name Homo sapiens (human). RNAcentral describes it as "HSALNT0295133". Lineage: Eukaryota; Metazoa; Chordata; Mammalia; Primates; Hominidae. The record is from RNAcentral.
CGAAUGGAAUCAUCGAAUGGACUCGAAUGGAAUAAUCAUUGAACGGAAUCGAAUGGAAUCAUCAUCGGAUGGAAAUGAAUGGAAUCAUCAUCGAAUGGAAUCGAAUAGAAUUAUGGAAUGAAAUCCAGUGUGAUCAUCAUCGAAUGGACCCGAAUGGAAUCAUCAUCCAACGGAAGCUAAUGGAAUCAACAUCGAAUGAAUCGAAUGGAAACACCAUCGAAUUGAAACGAAUGGAAUUAUCAUGAAAUUGAAAUGGAUGGACUCAUCAUCGAAUGGAUUCGAAUGGAAUCAUCGAAUAAAAUUGAUUGAAAUCAUCAUAGAAUGGAAUCGAAUGGAUUCAUUGAAUGGAAUCAGAUGGAAUCAUCGAAUGGACUGGAAUGGAAUCAUUGAAUGGACUCGAAAGGGAUCAUUAUUGAAUGGAAUUGAAUGGAAUCAUCGAAUGGUCUCGAUUGGAAUCAUUAUCAAAUGGAAUCGAAUGGAAUCACCGAAUAGAAUCGAAUGGAACAAUCAUCGAAUGGACUCAAAUGGAAUUAUCCUCCAAUGGAAUCGAAUGGAAUUAUCGAAUGCAAUC